This 433-nucleotide ribosomal RNA is filed under the name uncultured bacterium. RNAcentral's name for it is "partial 16S ribosomal RNA". It matches the Rfam family "Bacterial small subunit ribosomal RNA", at positions 29 to 507 of the family's 1533-position model. The record is from RNAcentral.
AACGAACGCUGGCGGCAUGCCUAACACAUGCAAGUCGAACGAGACCUUCGGGUCUAGUGGCGCACGGGUGCGUAACGCGUGGGAACCUGCCCUUAGGUUCGGAAUAACUCCCCGAAAGGGGUGCUAAUACCAGAUAAUGUCUUCGGACCAAAGAUUUAUCGCCUUUGGAUGGGCCCGCGUUGGAUUAGCUAGUUGGUAGGGUAAAAGCCUACCAAGGCGACGAUCCAUAGCUGGUCUGAGAGGAUGAUCAGCCACACUGGGACUGAGACACGGCCCAGACUCCUACGGGAAGCAGCAGUGGGGAAUAUUGGACAAUGGGCGAAAGCCUGAUCCAGCAAUGCCGCGUGAGUGAUGAAGGCCUUAGGGUUGUAAAGCUCUUUUACCCGGGAUGAUAAUGACAGUACCGGGAGAAUAAGCUCCGGCUAACUCCGUG